Molecule: ribosomal RNA, 253 nt
Filed under: uncultured bacterium
Lineage: Bacteria
Description: partial 16S ribosomal RNA
Rfam family: Bacterial small subunit ribosomal RNA
Source: RNAcentral
UACAGAGGUCUCAAGCGUUGUUCGGAUUCAUUGGGCGUAAAGCGCACGUAGGCGGCUUUUUAAGUCAGGGGUGAAAUCCUGGAGCUCAACUCCAGAACUGCCUUUGAUACUGAGAAGCUUGAGUCCGGGAGAGGUGAGUGGAACUGCGAGUGUAGAGGUGAAAUUCGUAGAUAUUCGCAAGAACACCAGUGGCGAAGGCGGCUCACUGGCCCGGUACUGACGCUGAGGUGCGAAAGCGUGGGGAGCAAACAGG